UACGGGCCGGUAGAGUGAGCGCGUCGUCAUCACACCCGUACGGGGGGAAGCCGGUGCAAAUCCGGCGCUGACCCGCAACCGUAUGCCGCUCGCGCGGUGAGCCGGACUGCCCCGCACAGGACGUGACCGGCU
RNAcentral lists this non-coding RNA (132 nucleotides) under Streptomyces avermitilis. Lineage: Bacteria; Bacillati; Actinomycetota; Actinomycetes; Kitasatosporales; Streptomycetaceae. The record is from RNAcentral.